This is a non-coding RNA of Oryza sativa Japonica Group (Japanese rice), 2082 nucleotides long. The record is from RefSeq and is a predicted model, not a curated record. Lineage: Eukaryota; Viridiplantae; Streptophyta; Magnoliopsida; Poales; Poaceae.
CCUCUUCCUCCCGUUUUCCCCUUUCUCUUUCUCGCUCUCUUCUCUCCCUGGCGCUGUGGCGCACAAGGGCUGCGCCCCCAAUUGUAGGGUGUGUCGCCGCCGCCUCUGCCUGGCUGGCCGGCAAGGUGCCGCCGCCGCCGCUUCUUCCUCCUCUCCCCUUCCUUCAAUCCUCUCUUCCCUUGUUUCCCUCUCUAAAUCUCUCUAUAUAGCUCAUCUUCCCUUUUCUCCUCUACUGCCCUAGUUAGUAUUAUCCUCAAUCUCUUCAACUUCUGCUCUAUGCUAGUGUUUAUCUCUCCUUGGUGAUGUCUGUGAUAGCGGUGGACUAGUGAUGCUGGUUGUAUAUAAAUGAUCCUAGUGGUCACUUGAUUUUUUUUCUAUACUCAGGGUUGUGCUUACUGAUUUCAGGGUUCUUACGUUUGACUUGGUUUGGUGAAUAAUGUCUAUAUGCUCAUGAUAAAUGAAUGCUGACAUGAAUAAACCUAUGAAUUGCAUUACUGAAAUUAAAAUCACACUAAUAUCACUGGUCCUUAUAUAUGCAUACAUGUUGAAUUAACUGAAUCUUCUAAAAUUGGUGACAUACAAGCAGGAUCAGAUCUUUGACUAAAGUCUUAUUAAUUUACAUGGUUCUACACUUUGAUAAUCAUGGCAAUUUCUAUCUAUACAUAUUGAAUUAUUGGACUGAAGAUCCCUAAAACUUGAAUCUUGAAGUUAAUAAAUGAUAAUUUGUUUCUCUAAAUAAUUUACUACUAGUCUAUAUGUCCAGAAUUUCAUCUCUAUAUAAUUUAUUAGAUUAGAGUUAUUGAUAGAUUAUAUUACUUACAUUUGUUUUAUUAUGAGACUAUGCUCUAAACAUUUACUCUCCUGCACAUAAUAAUCUGGUAAAGAAACUUGCAUGUUCUGUUAAGUCUUUACGAUUUAGUACAACUAUUAUUACUUUAACACUAUACAUGCUUAAAUGUACAUCCAGAUUCAUCCUAUGACGUCUUUUCUGAAUUUUGUAGUAAAGAACUAGAUACAUAUGCAAACCCAGAUUCAUAACCUACUAAUUUCACAUGCUAUCCUUCAAAUCAAACUAUUAAUAAUUUAUGAUGUUUUCUCUAUUAAAUCAGGGUUGAGCUUCAUUACUUUUAAAUGAAAUCAGAUUCAUAGACACAGAUCCUAACCCUUCCAGGAAUAUGCACAUGUCAAGGUUAUGCCCUGUUUGCAUGACUAGAAUAUGAAAACUUACAAAUUCUCAUGCAUGAUCAGUUUCUUCUAUACAUGCUCUAUUCCUAAAUAAUUUAUAUCAUGAACACUAGUUGAUUUAUACAAGAAUUACAGCUACACAUGCUUAUUGAUGCUAUCAAGAUUUCAUAUAUUAUAAUUGAUAUACGUCUAUAUUAAGAUUUAAAGACAUACAUUUAUCUUAAACUAUAGCCUCCUAAUUUUUGUCACUUAUAUUCAUUUGGAAUUUCUAAGGUUUUGGUCAGUAUGGAUGGUGCAUAUAUCUGUAUGAAACUCUAGCUCUAACAAAUGCUGUUACUAUGAAUGCAGGAUCUACUCUCCUUCCCUAUUUUAAUUUUUGGUUACCUCUGAUGAUUCUACAGUGAUUGAAAAAUAUGUGGUUCAGCUCCUCCUUCAAAAAUCCAAGUCUUCUCUUCUACUGCUGCUCUUCUGGAUCUAAAGGUGAUUCUCCUCCUUGGCCCUUCCUCUACCGGUAAUACUUGACUGCUUCCUGACAUCUUUCUUGAUCUGCUACUGGUGAUUCUCUUCCUCCUCUUGAGACUGAUCCUCUUGCUUGAUUAUUGCUGCUCUAUCUUGCUUCCUAACCUUGGUAACAUCUUCUCCAAGAGCUGAAACCCCUGUUCAUCCAAGAACAGAACACCCUGCUUCUCCUUUUACUCCUCUGACCUCCCUCUCUCUCUCUUCCUGAUUGUUUUUACUAUGGAUACUAUGCAGCUAUGGUUAAUUGAUGUAUUGGUUUGUGCUGGAUUUCACUGAGCUGCUCCUCUCUCGAAUGAACUACUCCCUCCUUCCAAAAAAAAGACAAACCCUGAUUUCCGUGUCCAACGUUUGACCGUCCGUCUUAUUUAAAAAAAUUAU